CAAAAACAAGGAUGGUUACUAUCAUUACUUCUAUCAACAUUGAACUGGAAGUUCUACCCAUUUCAAUAAAGAAAAAAAAUAGGAGGAAUCAAGGCCCUGGGGCCGAUGCCACAGUGAUUACAUGUCAGCAUGGGAUCGACGCCCUGCUCCUGGGCUGUGCCCCAGCCAGCCAGCCUCCAGACACAGCCCAGCUCGGCCAAGGCAAGCCCGGGAACCCACACGUGCACCAUGUGCCAUCCUGCCUUGGCCCUUUGUUUGGCCAUUCCCCUCCUGGAAAUGCCCUGAC
RNAcentral lists this long non-coding RNA (286 nucleotides) under Equus caballus (horse). RNAcentral describes it as "lncRNA (ENSECAG00000045189.1)". The record is from RNAcentral. Lineage: Eukaryota; Metazoa; Chordata; Mammalia; Perissodactyla; Equidae.